Molecule: ribosomal RNA, 219 nt
Filed under: uncultured bacterium
Lineage: Bacteria
Description: partial 16S ribosomal RNA
Rfam family: Bacterial small subunit ribosomal RNA
Source: RNAcentral
UACGUAGGGGGCAAGCGUUGUCCGGAUUUAUUGGGCGUAAAGAGCGUGUAGGCGGUUUGGUAGGUCCGCUGUGAAAACUCGAGGCUCAACCUCGAGACGCCGGUGGAAACCAUCAGGCUAGAGUCCGGAAGAGGAGAGUGGAAUUCCUGGUGUAGCGGUGAAAUGCGCAGAUAUCAGGAAGAACACCCGUGGCUAAGGCGGCUCUCUAGUACGGGUACU